This 424-nucleotide ribosomal RNA is filed under the name uncultured bacterium. RNAcentral describes it as "partial 16S ribosomal RNA". It matches the Rfam family "Bacterial small subunit ribosomal RNA", at positions 354 to 796 of the family's 1533-position model. The record is from RNAcentral.
GUGGGGAAUCUUGCGCAAUGGGCGAAAGCCUGACGCAGCCAUGCCGCGUGAAUGAUGAAGGUCUUAGGAUUGUAAAAUUCUUUCACCGGGGACGAUAAUGACGGUACCCGGAGAAGAAGCUCCGGCUAACUUCGUGCCAGCAGCCGCGGUAAUACGAAGGGGGCUAGCGUUGCUCGGAAUUACUGGGCGUAAAGGGCGCGUAGGCGGACAGCUUAGUCAGAGGUGAAAGCCCAGGGCUCAACCUUGGAAUUGCCUUUGAUACUGGCUGUCUUGAGUUUGGGAGAGGUGAGUGGAACUCCUAGUGUAGAGGUGAAAUUCGUAGAUAUUCGGAAGAACACCAGUGGCGAAGGCGACUCACUGGCCCAAUACUGACGCUGAGGCGCGAAAGCGUGGGGAGCAAACAGGAUUAGAAACCCUAGUGUCC